RNAcentral lists this ribosomal RNA (492 nucleotides) under uncultured bacterium. RNAcentral describes it as "partial 16S ribosomal RNA". It matches the Rfam family "Bacterial small subunit ribosomal RNA", at positions 28 to 507 of the family's 1533-position model. The record is from RNAcentral.
GAUGAACGCUGGCGGCGUGCCUAAUACAUGCAAGUCGAGCGAACGGACGAGAAGCUUGCUUCUCUGAUGUUAGCGGCGGACGGGUGAGUAACACGUGGAUAACCUACCUAUAAGGCUGGGAUAACUUCGGGAAACCGGAGCUAAUACCGGAUAAUAUUUUGAACCGCAUGGUUCAAAAGUGAAAGACGGUCUUGCUGUCACUUAUAGAUGGAUCCGCGCUGCAUUAGCUAGUUGGUAAGGUAACGGCUUACCAAGGCAACGAUGCAUAGCCGACCUGAGAGGGUGGGCGGCCACACUGGGACUGAGAUACGGCCCAGACUCCUGCGGGAGGCAGCAGUGGGGGGUAUUGCACAAUGGGCGGAAGCCUGAUGCAGCGACGUCGCGUGAGGGAUGGAGGCCUUCGGGUUGUGAACCUCUGUUUCCGGUGGUGAAGGCCCUGUCCGUGUGGUGGGGUUGACGGUAGCCGGGGAUGAAGCGCCGGCUAACUACGUG